AUGCAAGUCGAACGGCAGCACGGGUGCUUGCACCUGGUGGCGAGUGGCGAACGGGUGAGUAACAUAUCGGAACGUGCCCUAGAGUGGGGGAUAACGUAGCGAAAGUUACGCUAAUACCGCAUACGAUCUAAGGAUGAAAGUGGGGGAUCGCAAGACCUCAUGCUCCUGGAGCGGCCGAUAUCUGAUUAGCUAGUUGGUGGGGUAAAAGCCUAUCAAGGCGACGAUCAGUAGCUGGUCUGAGAGGACGACCAGCCACACUGGGACUGAGACACGGCCCAGACUCCUACGGGAGGCAGCAGUGGGGAAUUUUGGACAAUGGGGGAAACCCUGAUCCAGCAAUGCCGCGUGUGUGAAGAAGGCCUUCGGGUUGUAAAGCACUUUUGUCAGGAACGAAACGGUGGGGGCUAAUACCUCCUGCUAAUGACGGUACCUGAAGAAUAAGCACCGGCUAACUACGUGCCAGCAGCCGCGGUAAUACGUAGGGUGCGAGCGUUAAUCGGAAUUACUGGGCGUAAAGCGUGCGCAGGCGGUUGUGCAAGACAGAUGUGAAAUCCCCGGGCUUAACCUGGGAAUUGCAUUUGUGACUGCACGGCUAGAGUGUGUCAGAGGGGGGUAGAAUUCCACGUGUAGCAGUGAAAUGCGUAGAUAUGUGGAGGAAUACCGAUGGCGAAGGCAGCCCCCUGGGAUAACACUGACGCUCAUGCACGAAAGCGUGGGGAGCAAACAGGAUUAGAUACCCUGGUAGU
RNAcentral lists this ribosomal RNA (746 nucleotides) under uncultured beta proteobacterium. RNAcentral's name for it is "bacterial SSU rRNA". It matches the Rfam family "Bacterial small subunit ribosomal RNA", at positions 55 to 794 of the family's 1533-position model. The record is from RNAcentral. Lineage: Bacteria; Pseudomonadati; Pseudomonadota; Betaproteobacteria.